This 1257-nucleotide long non-coding RNA is filed under the name Setaria viridis. Its description in RNAcentral is "long non-coding RNA (SVIR_LNC009448)". Lineage: Eukaryota; Viridiplantae; Streptophyta; Magnoliopsida; Poales; Poaceae. The record is from RNAcentral.
GUACACGAUGAGGCGAUCACCGAGGAGUUGAUCGAGAUCGAGGAUGAUCUAGAUGUAAGUGUUUUAUACCCAGCAACCUACUGAGAGGUAUCUGGAGGUAGUAGAUUGGUUGGUGGGGAUCAUCGAAUCUGGAACUCGAAGGUAAAAGCGAGGACCAAGACAAAUUUAUACAGGUUUAGGCCGCCAAAGUAGCGUAAUACCCUGCAUCCUAUUUUGGGGUGUUGUAUAUUGCGCCCUGCACUUGGGUGUUAUCUGGUAUUGAGGAUUUGAUCCUCUGUUGUGGUUCUAUGAGGUCUUAGCCUACCGAUCUAGGGACCCCUACCCUCCUUUAUAUACUCCAGGGGGUGGGAUUACUAGUCAGUUACACAGAGGAGUCCUAGUAGGAUACAGGGUUUGAGACCUAGUAGGAUUAUAGGGGAAUCCUAGUAGGAGUCCACCUUCUUUCUUCCUUUCGGGUAUUGGGAUCUAUCCCCGACAAGCCCCUGAGUGCUUCAUAGUCGAAUGUAGCAGUCUUCGAGUACGUUUUAGAUCCUCACCGAGUAGUAUUAGUGCUCCUCGAGUGUUUUGUCUAGCUGAAUCUUCAAAGUUCUUCAAAGUUGCCAUGAGGCUAUGGUGUGCUCAAGCCCUGAUAGUCUUGAUUUUGUAAUCUUCAUCUUCAGAUUGUGAUAUGGAGAGCGGCGAAAGUCGAACUACAUAUGGAGUAGCCCCCGAGCCUUAGGUUGAAUUGAAGAAUCAGGUUGAGGGUUAAUAAAAUCUUGAAUGUUCUUCUUUCAUCUUGAAAAAAUCAACUGUUGGGUGUAGCUUAUCAGCCUCCGAGCCUUGGAAUGAUUAAAAAAAAUCAAUUUGAGGGUCUUUAGUCUUCACGCCAGUCGUCUUUUGAGUAGUUUUGCAGCGUCCAUCCCCCGAGCUUAUGCGCCAGUUGAGCCGUAGAAGCCAUGUUGAGUAGUUAUUUGGUACUUAGCCCCUGAGCUUGGAAGCUAGGUUAGCCAUUGGAGAUAUUCCGAGUAGUAAUUCACGCUUAGCCCUCGAGCCUGGGAGCUAGCGGAGCCAUUGGAGGUACGCUGAGCGUCCUGGAUAUUCAUCACCGAAGCUUGACCAGCAAAAAGACAUGCAUACAUUAUGUAGCAUAUUUGUAGAAUUUGGAACUACUGAAAUUUAUUCAGUGAUGAAUAUAAUGUAAAUGUUGUGUGUCAUGCUUUUGUUUCGACCAUAUUUUGCCGAGUAGUUAGCCUAUUACGUUUAGGCCCUCAAUCCCUG